UGUUUUCAAGGGAAUGUAUUAAUGCAAAGUUCUGACUUGGCAGAUGACUCAACUGGCAUUUUCAGAUAACAAUGUUCCUUGGAUUAACACCAUUUUCCACUGCCAUCAUGUGCCUCAAUUCACUUCCCUUGUUACAUCUUUGUGUGUUCAUCCAUAUUAAUGGGUUGUGAGAGGCAGUGUAAAGUAUGGAUACUCAAUCUAAAUCGUAGCAAGGUCAGAUGGGUUUCUUGUUUUGAUUCUUUCAUUCGUUACCUCCAGUCUCUCAAAAUCUAUAGGAUAGCAGUCAAUUGUGUUGCUGGAGGUAACGAAUGAAAGAAUCAAAAC
Molecule: unclassified non-coding RNA, 324 nt
Filed under: Hevea brasiliensis (rubber tree)
Lineage: Eukaryota; Viridiplantae; Streptophyta; Magnoliopsida; Malpighiales; Euphorbiaceae
Source: RNAcentral